GGAGACAUUUAAGAUGUAUAAUAUACCAGGUGUUUUGUUUUUUAUCAAGAUAUGUAAAAUUACACUCUGACCUUGCAAUUUUUGUCAAGGAAAUAUAUAUCAUUAUAGUCAAAAGAUGGCUGCCUGGUCGUGCGGUAUGCGUGCUGGACUAUCAUUCAGGUCUCGAUGAUCCCGGUAUAUACCCUGCCCGCUGCCAACCCCCGUCAUCAUGCAGGAGAUUUGGACUAGGAAGUAGAUUAUCUUCAACUCUGAAGAUAAUCUGAAACAUUUUACAAAACAUUUUUUAACCAGAGAAAGAGAAGGGGAUAUACAAAGCUCAAGGUUUUUGAGUGCUCUAAGUUUUAGACCUGUCUAUCAGGUCCCAAAGUGUUUUUUUUUUUAAAAUUAUUGAGUCUAUAUUUCUUAAUGACAACUCCACAAUGAAUUGUAUUCUUGAACUUUUGUAUUUAAUUAGAAUAUUGUUUUGUUUCAGUAUGACACAAGACCUAAUCAUUGUUGAUGCCCGGUACAAGAUGUCUCUUAUGUGUUCCAUGCAUUUGUUUGCCUUAAUGAGCUGCAACACCAUUUGACUCUUUGACUAAAGCGCAGUCAUACCAAUGUUAACCAAACAAAAGUGUAUUUUUCUAUAGACAUGGAGGCCUAAUUAUUUUACUUUCUAUUUUUAUUCUAUGUAAUCUCUAAUUUAAUUUUAAUUUUUUCAUUGUUUCUUUCAUGUUUUUUAUGUCUGCAAAAAUUUACUAUGAAUGGUUUUCAUUGGUUCUUACGCUGAUAUAUUAUAUUUUUUGUG
Non-coding RNA from Biomphalaria pfeifferi, 787 nucleotides. The record is from the annotation of a GenBank genome assembly. Lineage: Eukaryota; Metazoa; Mollusca; Gastropoda; Planorbidae.